UACGGAGGGGGCUAGCGUUGUUCGGAAUUACUGGGCGUAAAGCGCACGUAGGCGGACUGUUAAGUCGGGGGUGAAAUCCUGGGGCUCAACCUCAGAAUUGCCUCCGAUACUGGCAGUCUCGAGUGCGGGAGAGGUGAGUGGAAUUCCCAGUGUAGGGGUGAAAUUCGUAGAUAUUGGGAAGAACACCAGUGGCGAAGGCGGCUCACUGGCCCGUAACUGACGCUGAGGUGCGAAAGCGUGGGGAGCAAACAGG
This 253-nucleotide ribosomal RNA is filed under the name uncultured bacterium. Its description in RNAcentral is "partial 16S ribosomal RNA". It matches the Rfam family "Bacterial small subunit ribosomal RNA", at positions 524 to 776 of the family's 1533-position model. The record is from RNAcentral.